CUGAUUGGUUGCCUGAGUGAAAUGAGCCCACCCCCUUGUCUCUAUGACACUGUGAUCCAGAGUUAUGUUCAAUACAAAAUCCCUAUGUAAUUUACCAUAGUAGGAAAAACACACUGUUUCAUGGGCACGGCUUCACCAUAGUAAGUCAAUGGGGCAACUUUGGGCAGCUCUUGCGCCCCAGGGGUACAACUUACACCCCAUUUUGAGGUAUGGUCUGACAGAGACUGUCAGCCUCUUCAAACGUUGUAACCCACAUGUUUCUACGAAAUUCUUGUUAGGAGCUAUGACUCGUCAAAGUUCGUCGCAAUGUUAAGUCAAUGGGAUUUUUCGGCUACUUUUUCGCCCGCCGGGCGAACAUCGUACACCCGAUCGCUUAUAAAAGUCAUAGCACACCUCUCCUCAAUGAGCCGGUCGAUUUGACACCUCAUUCAUGGGUCUAGGACAAAAACUGCGGGACAAGUUACGCGCCGAAGUUUUGUCCAGAAGAAGAAGAAGAAUAAUAAUAAUAAUAAGUAUGCAGGAGAACAAUAAUGAUGCUUUGCCUUUGGCAAGCACCAUUAACUAGAAUGUACAUUUCCUGAAGAAAAUGUGAAUGGUGCUUGCAAUGGCAAAACUCAGCACUCGGUUGCUAGCGUGUUUCUAGGCAAUUGCUAAGGUGUUCUGGGUGGUUGCUAGGCGGUUACUAUGGUAACCUGGGUGGUUGCUAGGGUGUUGCUAGGCAGUUGCUAAGGUACUUGGGGUGGUUGCUAAGGUGUUGCUAGGCGGUUGCUAGGGUGUUCUGGGUGGUUGCUAGGCGGUUGCUAUGGUAACCUGGGUGGUUGCUAGGCGGUUGCUAGGCAGUUGCUAAGGUACUUGGGGUGGUUGCUAAGGUGUUGCUAGGCGGUUGCUAGGGUGUUCUGGGUGGUUGCUAGGCAGUUGCUAUGGUAACCUGGGUGGUUGCUAGGCGGUUGCUAGGCAGUUGCUAAGGUACUUGGGGUGGUUGCUAAGGUGUUGCUAGGCGGUUGCUAGGGUGUUCUGGGUGGUUGCUAGGCGGUUGCUAUGGUAACCUGGGUGGUUGCUAGGCGGUUGUUAGGCAGUUGGUAAGGUACUUGGGGCAGUUGCUACGGUGUUGCUAGGUGGUUGCUAGGGUGUUAUGGGUGGUUGCUAGGCAGUUGCUAUGGUAACCUGGGUGGUUGCUAUGAUGUUACUAGGUGGUUGGUAGUUGUCACAGAUGGUUACUAUGGUGUUUUUAUAGAGUUCUUAGCAUGUUCUUAGCCCACUUUAGCACUUAGCUAAUCACCAUUAGCAUGUAGCUAUUCACUGCUAGAAUGUGUAGCAGGUUGGAAGUCCAGUUUGCUAGCAUGAGUCGAAAGAGCCAACCGCCAUGUCUCUACGAUGCUCUGAUGCAGAGAUAUAGGUCUUGCUAAACGGUUGCUAGGGUACUCUGUUUGGUUGCUAGGGAGUGGCUUAGCAGCUGCCAAUGAUGAUACACCAAAGGCUGCUUGCCAAUAUAAGCCAACCGCCAUGUCUCUACGAUGUUCUGAUGCAGAGAUAUAGGUCUUGAAAAACGGUUGCUAGGGUACUCUGUUUGGUUGCUAGGGAGUGGCUUGGCAGCUGCCAAUGAUGAUACUCCAAAGGCUGCUUGCCAGUAUGAAUGAUAUAAAUCAACCCCCAUGCCUCUAUGAUAUUGAGAUUUAAAGAUAUCGCUCUAUGCUGUGGGUUGCUAGGGUGCUCCAAAUGGUUGCUAGGGCGUGGCUAUGAAGUCUUUAAGGUGAUUCGUGAUUGGCCGUUUGCUCUCCCGAGUCAAAUGAGCCCACCCUCAUGUUCCUAUGACACUUCUAUCCAAAGGACUAUCUUUGACCUUUUUGAAUGGAAGUCUAUGGAACCUGUUGCUAGGGUGCUCUAUAUGGUUGCUAGGGCGUGGCUUCAUAGCGUCACAUUGAUCCUGAGAGACUGAUUGGUUGCCUGAGUGAAAUGAGCCCGCCCCCUUGUCUCUAUGACACUGUGAUCAAUAGUGAGAGAUGUGAGUGAGUGAGAGAAAGGGUUCUAAGGCCCUGCGUGUGUGUGCGUGUGUGAGAAAGUGACAGUUGAGAUUCAAAUUUCUGAACAUUCCGCCAUUGAAAGUCAAUGGGACUUUUUUGGCCGCUUUUUCGCCCCCUGUGCGAACAUCGUUGGGCCGAUCGCUUAUAAAAGUCAUAGCACACCUCUCCUCAAUGAGCCGGUCGAUUUGACACCUCAUUCAUGGGUCUAGGACAAAAACUGCGGGACAAGUUACGCGCCGAAGUUUUUGUCCAGAAGAAGAAGAAUAA
This is a long non-coding RNA of Ctenopharyngodon idella (grass carp), 2288 nucleotides long. RefSeq lists it as uncharacterized. Lineage: Eukaryota; Metazoa; Chordata; Actinopteri; Cypriniformes; Xenocyprididae. The record is from RefSeq and is a predicted model, not a curated record. The transcript has 2 exons.